This is an RNA transcript of Prionailurus viverrinus (fishing cat), 1874 nucleotides long. It is a transcript of the gene named apoptosis inducing factor mitochondria associated 2, with no coding region annotated. NCBI's taxonomy places the organism in Eukaryota, Metazoa, Chordata, Mammalia, Carnivora, Felidae. The transcript is spliced from 11 exons. The record is from RefSeq and is a predicted model, not a curated record.
CCCGCCCUACAAGCGCCCGGAGGGGCCUCGCCGGGCCUGAAAGACCUGGCGGAUUGCGUCCGAGCUCCGGUGCGCGGGUGUUGUGGCCCUGGCGGGGGAGGGCGGUUGCUCUAGGUACCGGGCCCGGCCUGCCCCACCCCAGUUCCCUCAGCACACGAAAACUGGGAGGCUUAGGCCCGGCGGCAAGGGUAGGGCAAACUAGCCUCCUCUCGUCCGCCCCUCGAAACUUCUGAGGUCUUCCCAGGAGCACCCGGUCUGAGAUGGGGUCCCAGGUCUCCGUGGACGUGGGAGCUGUGAACGUGGUGGUCGUGGGUGGCGGCUUUGGUGGGAUCGCCGCCGCCAGCCAGCUGCAGGCUCUGAACAUCCCCUUCGUGCUGGUGGACAUGAAGGACUCCUUCCACCACAACGUGGCAGCCCUCCGGGCCUCCGUGGAAAGCGGGUUUGCCAAAAAGACAUUCAUUUCCUACUCGGAGACCUUUAAGGAAAACUUCCGGCAGGGGCUGGUGGUACAGGUGGACCUGCAGAAUCAGACGGUGCUGCUCGAGGAUGGCGAGGCCCUGCACUUCUCACAUCUUAUCCUGGCCACUGGCAGCACCGCCUUCUUUCCGGGCAAGUUUAACCGGGUGGCCAGCCGGGAGGUUGCUAUCCAGGCCUACGAGGACAUGGUGAAGCAGGUCCGGCGCUCACGGUCCGUGGUGGUGGUGGGAGGCGGCUCUGCCGGAGUGGAGAUGGCGGCAGAGAUUAAAACCGAAUUCCCCGAGAAAGAGGUCACUCUCAUCCACUCCCACGUGGCCCUUGCCGACAAGGAGCUCCUGCCCUGUGUCCGGCAGGAAGUGAAGGAGAUCCUGCUCCAGAAAGGCGUGCGGCUGCUGCUGAGUGAACGGGUGAGCAAUCUGGAGGAGCUGCCCCUCAACGAGUAUCGAGAGUGCAUCCAGGUGCACACGGACAAAGGCACAGAGGUGGCCACUAAUCUGGUGAUUGUCUGCAAUGGUAUUAGGAUCAACAGCGCCGCCUACCGCAGUGCGUUCGAAAGUCAUCUGGCCAGCGAUGGCGCUCUGCGAGUGAACGAGUAUCUCCAGGUGGAGGGCUGCAGCCACAUCUAUGCCAUCGGCGACUGCGCAGAUGUGAGGGAGCCCAAGAUGGCCUACCACGCCGGCCUCCACGCCAACGUUGCCGUGGCCAACAUCGUCAACGCCAGGAAACAGAGGCCCCUCAAGGCCUACAAGCCAGGCGCGCUGACGUUCCUCCUGGCCAUGGGGAGAAAUGACGGCGUGGGCCAGAUCAGCGGCUUCUAUGUGGGGCGGCUCAUGGUUCGGCUGGCCAAGAGCCGGGACCUGUUCGUCUCCUCGAGCUGGAAGACCAUGCGGCAGUCUCCACCCUGAGCGGGAGCUGGGCCGCCGCCAGGUGAACGGAUUGCUUGACCUGAGGUCCCGAUGAUAUACCAUAGGUUACAUUUAAGAAGAAAGAGUUAGAUAAAUUUCCCUCCCGGUUAGCCUAUCCUAACAGAGAGUGAGUUUUUCCAAAGCUAACAGGUUAAGACGGAAGCCUGGCCCGCCAGCCGCUGGACAUGUUAAGGAAAGGCAGCCGAGCUAAUGGGACCCUUGGGAUGACUACCCCACCGGAGGCUUCACCCAGGGCCCCGUUCCUGUGGGCCACGGCCAACCAGGCUCCCCUUCUGGAAGCAGGACCUGCUGCCUGAGAGACACAGGCUAUUCUGUGCCGUCUGACCUGGGGACUAGCAGGGUGGGAGUCUUGGCUCAUUAGUGACAGGCCUUGUUCUAUUUAUAACAUUUUACAAGUGUCCCCCCAUGGGGACAUGGUUUUUCCAAACUGAGGAAAAUAUUGCAAUAAAAGAAUAUGUUGUAAGAAAGACA